CCUACGGGUGGCAGCAGUGAGGAAUAUUGGUCAAUGGACGAGAGUCUGAACCAGCCAAGUAGCGUGAAGGAUGACUGCCCUAUGGGUUGUAAACUUCUUUUAUAUGGGAAUAAAAUGUUCCACGUGUGGGAUUUUGUAUGUACAAUAUGAAUAAGGAUCGGCUAACUCCGUGCCAGCAGCCGCGGUAAUACGGAGGAUCCGAGCGUUAUCCGGAUUUAUUGGGUUUAAAGGGAGCGUAGGUGGAUUGUUAAGUCAGUUGUGAAAGUUUGCGGCUCAACCGUAAAAUUGCAGUUGAAACUGGCAGUCUUGAUUACAGUAGAGGUGGGCGGAAUUCGUGGUGUAGCGGUGAAAUGCUUAGAUAUCACGAAGAACUCCGAUUGCGAAGGCAGUUCACUGGACUGCAACUGACACUGAGGCUCGAAAGUGUGGGUAUCAAACAGGAUUAGAUACCCUAGUAGUC
RNAcentral lists this ribosomal RNA (460 nucleotides) under uncultured bacterium. Its description in RNAcentral is "partial 16S ribosomal RNA". It matches the Rfam family "Bacterial small subunit ribosomal RNA", at positions 338 to 795 of the family's 1533-position model. The record is from RNAcentral.